GGCUUCGUAGCUUAGCUGGUAGUGCGCUUGCCGCGUAGAGGCAUGGUGUUUCUGUCGCUGGUUCGAAUCCAGCCGAAGCCC
RNAcentral lists this transfer RNA (81 nucleotides) under Paragonimus heterotremus. It matches the Rfam family "tRNA". Rfam says of the family: Transfer RNA (tRNA) molecules are approximately 80 nucleotides in length. Their secondary structure includes four short double-helical elements and three loops (D, anti-codon, and T loops). Further hydrogen bonds mediate the characteristic L-shaped molecular structure. tRNAs have two regions of fundamental functional importance: the anti-codon, which is responsible for specific mRNA codon recognition, and the 3' end, to which the tRNAs corresponding amino acid is attached (by aminoacyl-tRNA synthetases). tRNAs cope with the degeneracy of the genetic code in two manners: having more than one tRNA (with a specific anti-codon) for a particular amino acid; and 'wobble' base-pairing, i.e. permitting non-standard base-pairing at the 3rd anti-codon position. Lineage: Eukaryota; Metazoa; Platyhelminthes; Trematoda; Plagiorchiida; Troglotrematidae. The record is from Rfam by way of RNAcentral.